Meriones unguiculatus (Mongolian gerbil) is the source of this 2204-nucleotide long non-coding RNA. RefSeq lists it as uncharacterized. Lineage: Eukaryota; Metazoa; Chordata; Mammalia; Rodentia; Muridae. The record is from RefSeq and is a predicted model, not a curated record. The transcript has 2 exons.
CUGGCCGGAUGGUUCGCUCCGCCGCGCGCUUAGGAGCCGGCGGGUCCGGCCGAGCGCGCGCCCGGGAGCAGCGCGGCGCGUCGGCGAGGCUGGCCCGCGUCCGCCGAUGCCCGGGAGGUCGCGCGGAGUCCCGAGGAACACUUUCCGGAGAGCAUCGCGGGGUUUCCCACGGGCAGCGCUGGCGCGCUCUUCCAGAGAACAACUGGGGAAACUCCGCCGGGCCGGCCAGCACAGACAAGUGUGGUACACCCCAAAUUUCCCUGCUCCACCGCUGACCUAGAUUCCAAGGGUCCAGAGGUGUCCGGAUUAAGUAGCAAAGCGGGAUUUUUAAAGGGCAGCGUCGGCCAGGCUUAGGAGACUGAAAUCCCUCUUUGUGGCUGGCGUAUAAAAGACGGUGGAUCGCAAAGCUGACCCGACGGGAUUCAUUCCGUCUCCCUGUGCAAGAAUCGUGGUGCGAUUUAAAUAAACUGUCCUGUUACAGGGGCGCAUGGAGUGUUUAGAGAAUCAAAAACGGAUACACUGAUUAAGCACGUGAUGUGGGGUUAGAAGGGAGAGCGUUGGCUCCAGGUGGCCUUCCCUAGCCUUGGUCCACAGAUGGAAAGGUAAAAGGCAGAAAGGUCUGCAGAGGCCCAUGACGAGAUCCAGAUGCCGGCGGGCCCUCUGAAAAGUGGCUUCGCUUCCUGUGUAAUCGGAACAAGUUUGGCAGUGCGUGUGGAAAAACAAGUCUUGCAGAUGCUGCCCUCAGAGCGUUAUGCUGCUGGCCUGCUUUGGAGUAGGAAGUCCACGCCUCUGAGUAAGCGCCGGUGGACGGAGAGAGAUAACGACAUCAUAUAACAGAGCGCUGCUGCCCACAAUAUGAUGAAGAAAAAGAUAUGCACACAAAAGAUGACAAAUCAAAAAAGAAUCUCCUAAGCAGGAACUAAAGCCUCAAGUGAUCCCUGACACAAGAUGAAAUGCCUCCCCUACCUUCCUGGUGACUUCUUCUCCCCAACCCCUGCACCUCCUCUCUCCAAACAUUAAUUAGUUCUUGAUGACCACCCUCAUACCUUUCAGGACCUCUUCUACAGCACCACCCUGGCCCACUCCCCUAAAGUUACUUGGGGGGGAGGGGGGGAUCAACUUCUGCUCAGUCCUAAUUAGCUAUCACAUAUGGGUCCUUUCAUGCUCAAAGGUUCAUUUUUAUGUCCCCCCUUUCAGGGAGCGUGGGGCUGGUGACUGGCUCUCUAGCUUUUCAGGUCCUACAUUCCUAAAGGACUGUUUACUUGAAUGUGAGCUUGUAGGGCCACACAUUCUAGCCCAACCUGUCCACCCUGCCAGGCUAAUGAUUUAUUUCUCCCCUCCCUACUUCUCCUUCUCUCUACUUCGCUGUAGACGGAACGAGCACAUUCACACCAAUCGGGCGCCGACCUGAGCCACAUCCCCAGGCUUUAGAAUUGUAUGAUCCUCAUUCAAAUCGAUGGCACAGAGGAACAGAGAUGGGCGUGACCCCAGGACACGAAAUCAUGAACUAUUCCACAUUUCUGCAAACAUGAGCAAAAUGCAAUUUACAUACUGUAUCCAUAUAUAUGCAUUAGUGAAAUAAGUUAUUUUGCAUACUAGCCAACAACUUAAAAAUAGAGGUUGAGGAUCAAGAAAAUAAAUAAGCUGAGAAAUUAUAAUCCAUGAUAAAUACCAAGAGAAAACCAGAGGAAGGGAGGUGAUCUAAUUCCCACAGUUAUGUAAUUAUAUCAUACAUAAUGGUCUAACUUCAACAAAAAAUUACAAGGUAUAUGGCCGGAAAAUACUUGUUGGUUAUAUUUUAAUUGAUGUAGUAUGUUGUAAUUUCACACCUGUUAGAAAAUAUGAUCAGUAGGAUUUCAGCUUAUAUGAUUAUCAUGAUUGGAACAAAAAAAAACCCUCAAAACUUUUAAGAUUUUAUUUUUAUUUCUCUUUCUUGUGUGUGUGAGAGAGACUGUGUAUGUUUGUGUGUGUGUGAAAGAGAAAGAGAGAAAGACAGUGAGACUGUGUGUGUGUGUGCAUGUAUGUGUGAGAGACAGGAGUGCCGUGCCCUCAGAGGUCAGAAAAGACAUCAGAUGGCCUGGAACUGGAGUUAGCUGUGAGCACUCUGAUGUGUCCUCUGUAAGGGCAGUUCUUGACUGCUGAGCCCCAAACCUUGCGAUUUUAGAGAAUUAUUCCUAGUUUCUAAAAAUAAAGCAUAUUAUCUA